RNAcentral lists this ribosomal RNA (449 nucleotides) under uncultured bacterium. Its description in RNAcentral is "bacterial SSU rRNA". It matches the Rfam family "Bacterial small subunit ribosomal RNA", at positions 335 to 799 of the family's 1533-position model. The record is from RNAcentral.
ACUCCUACGGGAGGCAGCAGUGGGGAAUCUUGGACAAUGGGGGCGAACCCUGAUCCAGCCAUGCCGCGUGAGUGAUGAAGGCCUUAGGUCGUAAAGCUCUUUCGCCUGUGAUGAUAAUGACAGUAGCAGGUAAAGAAACCCCGGCUAACUCCGUGCCAGCAGCCGCGGUAAUACGGAGGGGUUAGCGUUGUUCGGAAUUACUGGGGCGUAAAGCGCGCGUAGGCGGAUUAGUCAGUUAGAGGUGAAAUCCCAGGGCUCAACCCUGGAACUGCCUUUAAUACUGCUAGUCUUGAGUUCGAGAGAGGUGAGUGGAAUUCCGAGUGUAGAGGUGAAAUUCGUAGAUAUUCGGAGGAACACCAGUGGCGAAGGCGGCUCACUGGCUCGAUACUGACGCUGAGGUGCGAAAGUGUGGGGGAGCAAACAGGAUUAGAUACCCUGGUAGGAUAGCG